Meriones unguiculatus (Mongolian gerbil) is the source of this 634-nucleotide long non-coding RNA. RefSeq lists it as uncharacterized. The record is from RefSeq and is a predicted model, not a curated record. Lineage: Eukaryota; Metazoa; Chordata; Mammalia; Rodentia; Muridae. The transcript has 3 exons.
GAAGGAGGAAGAGACAAGUAGGGGAGGAGAAAGGUGUCUCCGUGGGGUUGGCUGUAGAGAAGCACACGGCAGGAUCGAUGCGGAUGGAGGAAGGCAGCCCAGGUGGAUGGUGUGUUUAGAAGGUAGUUGGGUUGCUGGAUCCCAGAAGGAUUUUGCCCAGCUCUGCUUUCUAUUGACCUGACUGCCAAGGUGACAUAACCAGCCUUCUCAAGCUCCUCGUACCCCCACCUGAACAGACUAUAGGCUCUGAAGUGGAGGCCAGAAUGAAUCCUUCCUCCUUUACAUAUCGAAUGAGCCUUACAACUCAUGGGCAGCAGGCAGAGCACAAGGAAGCCUUCAUGAAGUAAAGGCCAAAGAAAUGGAUGCAGCAGCCAGAGCGGAAAUGUGGCAGUCAAGGUCAGGGUAAUGGGGACUGCAGGUCAGUGUGCAAAGGGUUAGGCUUGAACUCUGUCUUUAUUCCCCAUGUCUCCUUUAAUUUAGUCAUAAUUCAACUAAGCCAGUCAGGUUCCUUGGAGCUGCCGUGAGUAAGCACUGUCUUUGAUAGGCCCUGUUUUAACAAUGAUUCCUAAGGACCAGUUUAUGCAGAUCUACCAAACUUUAAGUCAGCUCCUCUUCUUUCACCCCAGUACUAACC